GGCGUGAACUACACCGAGGUUAUUGCGUUCACUCGAGUCCUUUCCAUUCAUGGAUUUCCGAACCGCCCAUUUUGCACGAUUGCAGAAAGACGGAACUACUAGUUUUGUAUCAUGUUUUUACAUGACCAGGAGCAUCAGACUCUUGCACUGGACUAAUCACUUGAUAAACUUUUGCUCUUUCGUCUGAUUAUGAUUAAAUAGUUUUGUGCACUUCGACAUAUGGCUUCGCUUGAAGCAAGAAUAUCUCUUGCUUUUCGGAUGAUGUCGAAAAUCAGCAAGGAUAGAAGGCAACCGAAUAGAAGGCUAUUUAGUUUAUCGGAUCGGCUGAUACUGAUGCUGCCAGGCAGAGAUCAUUGUGGGGAUUACACUAAGACAUGAGAGAGAAUGUCAUAUCUCUAAAGUAUUAAGCCAACUUCAGACAGUAAGACUUCAAAAAGAUAGGCUAUGAUCUCCUGUGGGUUCUGUUCCUUUCUCUGAACAUGAUGAGCUCACUGCAGAGUCAAGAAUCACCAGCCGCCAAAGGCAACGCUACUGAAAUCACCCACAUCAAGAGCUGAAAAAUUUCACAAUCUAUUUAUCAUGGACAAGCCAAAGACUGAUUCAAACCUUAAUUGCUUUUACAUUUUGGAGUCCUUUCUCAUCUGUAUUGCAGAAAAAUGGAAACUUGCAAGCAAGAACUGGGAGAUUCUCUCUGCUCCAACCUCAAAUUCAGUGCCCAGUGAAAAAAACAACUUGAAGCAACAUUCACUCACCAUGGAUUCAGGAAUCUGCAAACUUCAUCACCACUAAAGAAUCAAAGUGACAGUUGAACAGUCAGGAUUCAGGUCACUGUUACAACUCAAAGAACUUUAAACUGGAAUUGCUUUACUUGACUCCACCUCCUUUUUUUAAGCUUAUUAUCUAUGUUUAUGUGUGUGUUUGAUUAUUAUUUUCUCAGUAUUAGUAGAUAAUAAAAUUCUUCUCUCAUUCACUCAAGAAAACCUUGUAAUCU
Long non-coding RNA from Hemiscyllium ocellatum (epaulette shark), 991 nucleotides. RefSeq lists it as uncharacterized. The transcript has 3 exons. The record is from RefSeq and is a predicted model, not a curated record. NCBI's taxonomy places the organism in Eukaryota, Metazoa, Chordata, Chondrichthyes, Orectolobiformes, Hemiscylliidae.